This 301-nucleotide ribosomal RNA is filed under the name uncultured bacterium. Its description in RNAcentral is "partial 16S ribosomal RNA". It matches the Rfam family "Bacterial small subunit ribosomal RNA", at positions 509 to 807 of the family's 1533-position model. The record is from RNAcentral.
CAGUCGCCGCGGUAAUACGAAGGGUGCAAGCGUUACUCGGAAUUACUGGGCGUAAAGCGGGCGCAGACGGUUACUUAAGCAGGAUGUGAAAUCCCCGGGCUCAACCCCGGAACUGCAUCCGAUACUGCCAUGCUAGAGGAUUGGAGAGGUAGCUGGAAUUCUUGGUGUAGCAGUGAAAUGCGUGGAGAUCAAGAGGAACACUCGUGGCGAAAGCGAGCUACUGGACAAUAACUGACGCUGAGGCUCGAAGGCCAGGGUAGCGAAAGGGAUUAGAUACCCGUGUAGUCCCUGUCUCUUAUAC